Molecule: long non-coding RNA, 678 nt
Filed under: Parus major (Great Tit)
Lineage: Eukaryota; Metazoa; Chordata; Aves; Passeriformes; Paridae
Description: lncRNA (ENSPMJG00000002152.1)
Source: RNAcentral
ACAGAAAUCGACCCAAAACCAACUGGCCCAAAAAUCAACUUUAAAAUCGGCCCAUUGUACCAAAAAAACACCCAAGCCCCAAUCCAUUGAUCUGAAAAUCUACCCAAACCCAACUGGCCCAAAAAAUCACUGACACAGAAAUCUACCCAAACCCAGCUGACCCAAAAAUCAACUUUAAAAUCGGCCCAUUGAUCCAAAAACACCCCAACCCCAAUCCAUUCAUCUGAAAAUCUACCCAAACCCAACUGGCCCAAAAAAACACCGACACAGAAAUCAACCCAAAACCAACUGGCCCAAAAAUCAACUUAAAAGUUGGCCCAUUGAUCCAAAAAAACAUACCCAAACCCCAAUCCAUUGAUCUGAAAAUCAACCCAAACCCAAAUGGCCCAAAAAGACACCAACACAGAAAUCGACCCAAAACCCAGCUGACCCAAAAAUCAACUUUAAAAUUGGCCCAUUGAUCCAAAAACACCCCAACCCCAAUCCAUUCAUCUGAAAAUCUACCCAAACCCAACUGGCCCAAAAAUCAACUUAAAAUUGGCCCUUUGAUCCAAAAAAACACCCAAACCCCAAUCCAUUGACCUGAAAAUCUACCCAAACCCAACUGGCCCAAAAAAACACCAACACAGAAAUCAACCCAAAACCAACUGGCCCAAAAAAACACCGACACAGAAAUCG